UUUUUUACGAGCAGAAAGCAGAAGAUUUGUUUCCACUGAUGAAGUUGGUGCCAGGAGGUCUGGUUCAUUUUUUGUCCAGAGUAACGAGAGAAAUCAACGAGGAGAUAUUGCAUUGACAUGUGCACAUGACUUGUACACGUCUGUAAAUAAAUAAUACUCCAGUGCAGUAUUGUUAUUAUGUAUUAAAUCCAAUUUUUAUAAAUAAACUGACGCGUCAAAAUUCA
Molecule: unclassified non-coding RNA, 224 nt
Filed under: Melitaea cinxia (Glanville fritillary)
Lineage: Eukaryota; Metazoa; Arthropoda; Insecta; Lepidoptera; Nymphalidae
Description: misc RNA ENSMCXG00005001882.1
Source: RNAcentral